AGUGGGGCGCGGCCGCUGCAGCGCCGAGAGCGGGAGGUGACGGAGCGGGAGCAGCGCGGCACCGGCGGAUACAGGCAUCAUGCGUGAGAUCGUGCACAUCCAGGCCGGGCAGUGCGGCAACCAGAUCGGUGCCAAGUUCUGGGAGGUUAUUAGCGAUGAGCACGGCAUCGAUCCCACCGGCAGCUACCACGGGGACAGCGACCUGCAGCUCGAGAGGAUUAAUGUGUACUACAAUGAGGCCACAGGUAACAAAUAUGUCCCCCGUGCCAUCCUGGUUGACCUGGAGCCUGGCACAAUGGACUCAGUGCGCUCUGGCCCCUUUGGACAGAUCUUCCGACCUGACAACUUUGUCUUUGGUCAGAGCGGGGCCGGCAAUAACUGGGCCAAGGGGCACUACACCGAAGGCGCUGAGCUGGUGGACUCUGUGCUGGACGUGGUGAGGAAGGAGUCAGAAAGCUGCGACUGCCUGCAGGGCUUCCAGUUGACCCACUCUCUGGGUGGCGGCACCGGCUCGGGGAUGGGCACCCUCCUCAUCAGCAAGAUCCGGGAGGAGUACCCCGACCGCAUCAUGAACACGUUCAGCGUCAUGCCUUCUCCCAAGGUGUCGGACACGGUGGUGGAGCCCUACAAUGCCACCCUUUCUGUGCACCAGCUGGUGGAGAACACGGAUGAGACCUACUGCAUCGACAACGAGGCCCUGUACGACAUCUGUUUCCGCACCCUGAAGCUCACCACUCCCACGUACGGGGACCUCAACCACCUGGUGUCGGCCACCAUGAGCGGUGUGACCACCUGCCUUCGCUUCCCCGGCCAGCUGAACGCCGACCUGCGCAAGCUGGCGGUCAACAUGGUGCCUUUCCCGCGGCUGCACUUCUUCAUGCCGGGCUUCGCCCCGCUGACCAGCCGCGGCAGCCAGCAGUACCGAGCCCUGACGGUGCCCGAGCUGACGCAGCAGAUGUUCGACUCCAAGAACAUGAUGGCUGCCUGCGACCCCCGCCACGGCCGCUACCUGACGGUCGGCUGCCAUCUUCCGUGGACCGCAUGUGCCAUUGAAGAGUGGAACGAAGCAGAUGCCUCAACGUGCAGAACAAGAACAGCAGCUUACUUUGUGGAGUGGAUCCCCAAACAACUGAAGCGGCCGAUGUGUGACAUCCCCCCACUUGGGCUCAAGAUGUCCGCCACCUUCAUAGGGAACAGCACGGCCAUCCAGGAGCUGUUCAAGAGGAUCUCGGAGCAGUUCACGGCCAUGUUCCGGCGCAAGGCAUUCUUGCACUGGUACACCGGCGAGGGCAUGGAUGAGAUGGAGUUCACGGAGGCGGAGAGCAACAUGAAUGACCUGGUCUCAGAGUACCAGCAAUACCAGGAUGCCACUGCUGAUGAGCAGGGUGAAUUUGAAGAGGAAGGAGAGGAGGAUGAGGCAUGAAGUGGAAAUGGGUAGGAGUCAAGUGUAGUCUGAGCAGGCAAGUGUUCAUUGGGAGGAGAAAUCUGUGCAGUUGUGCUGAAGCAUGCGUUUCUUAAUUUGGUGCUCUCCACUGUUGCUUUUGUCAGCAGUUUUGUAUCCUCGACUGUCCAAUGUAACAGUAGUUGCAAGAAUACUCCACAGUCUUCUGUUGAAAUGGUUAACUUCUCAAACAUAAAGGCUUUUUGUGUUCUAAACUGUGUCCUCUGCCUUAUUUCUCUCUAGCUCUAGAAAAUAACUCUUGUAGUUUUCUGUCUCUUUCACUUCUCAUUCUCAGCCUUUUUCCCUCACUGAAAGGUUUAAGUCAAUAAAACAAGAUUUUCUGGGCCAUUAA
Molecule: non-coding RNA, 1793 nt
Organism: Coturnix japonica (Japanese quail)
Lineage: Eukaryota; Metazoa; Chordata; Aves; Galliformes; Phasianidae
Source: RefSeq, a predicted model, not a curated record